UACAGAGACUGCAAGCGUUAUUCGGAUUCACUGGGCGUAAAGGGUGCGCAGGCGGCCAAGUGUGUGAGGCGUGAAAGCCCGGGGCUUAACCCCGGAAUUGCACCUCAAACUACAUGGCUAGAGCAUUGGAGAGGGUAGCGGAAUUCACGGUGUAGCAGUGAAAUGCGUAGAUAUCGUGAGGAACACCAGAGGCGAAGGCGGCUACCUGGACAAUUGCUGACGCUCAGGCACGAAAGCGUGGGGAGCAAACGGG
Molecule: ribosomal RNA, 253 nt
Filed under: uncultured bacterium
Lineage: Bacteria
Description: partial 16S ribosomal RNA
Rfam family: Bacterial small subunit ribosomal RNA
Source: RNAcentral